AGAAGUGUUAGUGGCGGACGGGGUGAGUAACGCGUGGGUAACCUGCCUUGCACAGGGGGACAACAGUUGGAAACGACUGCUAAUACCGCAUAAGCCGGUAGACCGCAUGGUUAUCCGGAAAAGAUUUAUCGGUGCAAGAUGGGCCCGCGUUGGAUUAGUUAGUUGGCGGGGUAACGGCCCACCCAAGACCGCGAUCCAUAGCCGACCUGAGAGGGUGAUCGGCCACAUUGGGACUGAGACACGGCCCAAACUCCUACGGGAGGCAGCAGUGGGGAAUAUUGCGCAAUGGGGGAAACCCUGACGCAGCAACGCCGCGUGAGUGAGGAAGUAUUUCGGUAUGUAAAGCUCUAUCAGCAGGGAAGAACGAUGACGGUACCUGCAGAAGAAGUCCCGGCUAACUACGUGCC
This 407-nucleotide ribosomal RNA is filed under the name uncultured bacterium. RNAcentral's name for it is "bacterial SSU rRNA". It matches the Rfam family "Bacterial small subunit ribosomal RNA", at positions 85 to 509 of the family's 1533-position model. The record is from RNAcentral.